GGAAACGGUGGCUAAUACCGCAUAACGUCGCAAGACCAAAGAGGGGGACCUUCGGGCCUCUUGCCAUCAGAUGUGCCCAGAUGGGAUUAGCUAGUUGGUGAGGUAACGGCUCACCAAGGCGACGAUCCCUAGCUGGUCUGAGAGGAUGACCAGCCACACUGGAACUGAGACACGGUCCAGACUCCUACGGGAGGCAGCAGUGGGGAAUAUUGCACAAUGGGCGCAAGCCUGAUGCAGCCAUGCCGCGUGUAUGAAGAAGGCCUUCGGGUUGUAAAGUACUUUCAGCGGGGAGGAAGGUGUUGUGGUUAAUAACCGCAGCAAUUGACGUUACCCGCAGAAGAAGCACCGGCUAACUCCGUGCCAGCAGCCGCGGUAAUACGGAGGGUGCAAGCGUUAAUCGGAAUUACUGGGCGUAAAGCGCACGCAGGCGGUCUGUCAAGUCGGAUGUGAAAUCCCCGGGCUCAACCUGGGAACUGCAUUCGAAACUGGCAGGCUUGAGUCUUGUAGAGGGGGGUAGAAUUCCAGGUGUAGCGGUGAAAUGCGUAGAGAUCUGGAGGAAUACCGGUGGCGAAGGCGGCCCCCUGGACAAAGACUGACGCUCAGGUGCGAAAGCGUGGGGAGCAAACAGGAUUAGAUACCCUGGUAGUCCACGCCGUAAACGAUGUCUACUUGGAGGUUGUGCCCUUGAGGCGUGGCUUCCGGAGCUAACGCGUUAAGUAGACCGCCUGGGGAGUACGGCCGCAAGGUUAAAACUCAAAUGAAUUGACGGGGGCCCGCACAAGCGGUGGAGCAUGUGGUUUAAUUCGAUGCAACGCGAAGAACCUUACCUGGUCUUGACAUCCACAGAACUUUCCAGAGAUGGACUGGUGCCUUCGGGAACUGUGAGACAGGUGCUGCAUGGCUGUCGUCAGCUCGUGUUGUGAAAUGUUGGGUUAAGUCCCGCAACGAGCGCAACCCUUAUCCUUUGUUGCCAGCGAUUAGGUCGGGAACUCAAAGGAGACUGCCAGUGAUAA
Molecule: ribosomal RNA, 1013 nt
Filed under: Salmonella enterica subsp. enterica
Lineage: Bacteria; Pseudomonadati; Pseudomonadota; Gammaproteobacteria; Enterobacterales; Enterobacteriaceae
Description: bacterial SSU rRNA
Rfam family: Bacterial small subunit ribosomal RNA
Source: RNAcentral